UUUAACACAUGCAUGAUUUUUUAAAUUCAGGCGUUUGUGAAACAAUUUACACGCAAAAUAAAUUAUAUAUCUAUAAAAGUAUGUUUUCCCAUAAAUCCUCUCCUGAUCGCUGAUUGGUUGUAAUUUUCGGCGGGCAAAAUUGAUUGUUGUUUGUGAGAGAAAACCUAGCGUGACUCAAAUGGAACCAUGUCAUGUUUUGAAUGAAUGGAAGAUCCACAGAUUUUUCUGAGAAUAGGAGACGUCUACUGUUGUUGGGCAUCGUUCAGGUAUGUCUUUUAGAGGGUAUUGAGUAAAAAUUUCUGGAACUUUUUAAAACAAUCUUCCAUUAUGCAUCCUCACUGAAUAUUUUAGUAUGAGUCUGUCCAUAGCCAAUACUGGCAAUUGCCGUCUCAUUUAAACGAUUUUUGACGGGAUAUCAUGUUAUCUCUGACUAUAUACAAAUUUUCCUUUUCUCAUAAAAGAGCAAUGAUAUUUAAUAUUCAUUUCAUAAUCACAACAGAACACAUCAAAACAUGCUUGAUAUUCACCUUUUCGAAUUUUAAAUACAAAAAAAGUUUAAAAAUAUCCUGUCCCGAUUCGGAAACAGAACGUUAUCUAACCUAUUCUUUCUCUCUAUAUAUCAUUGUAGGUAUUUCCGGUGUUGACUUGAUACAUUUUCAUUCACGACGCGAUGUUGCGGAUUCAUCAUUGCAUUUGCAUGGGGUAGUGCAUAUGUUGUGUGUGGCCUUCUAAACGAUAAAUCUAUGGAUUAAAGGAUGAACAGGUCGAUGCAGGAAUAUUCAUUCUAAUGAUAAGGAAAUACGAAAUGCAAGGACAACCUCCAAGCAUGCAGUAUGCCUUAUACAAACAAUGAUGGGAUGUUCCAUAAUAUGGUGGCGCCCAGUUUUUAUUGGUGGAAGAGAGAACCCAGAUACAAUGUACCUGGGAAGAGACCAUCGACCUUCCGAAAGUAAACUGGAAAACUUUCUCACUUAACCGCAUGAGCGGGAUUGGAACCCUCGCCAACAGAGAACUAGAUGAGCAGAAGAUGCAUUCCAUGACUGACUCCCCAUAUGAUAUGAAAGACAGCCCAUGAGAAUGGAACCAACUUUCAGUGUUACAAUGGAUGAACACUCCUCCUGUCACAAGUCCAUCUUGAUUCAGUAAAGUGGUAGUCUAUUCAUCUAGGAAGCAACAAGACGGAUCUGGACAAGGACCAUAGUGACUCAAGUUUUGGUGUCAGAAGACCAUUUUGAUUAAACAUGUUAAAAGCACCACAGAAGUAAGAAGCUAGGAUACCAGUUUUAUAAACUAAAGAGUCGAAAGGCCCAGCUGGAGAGAGAUUCCUAUUUUUCGACCAAGGACAAAAAAAAAAAGAUUAAAAAGGUGCUAAGGAGGCAACGUCUCCAGAAGUAAUGGAUGAUGAGGAAGCCACCCAGAGGAAGGUCUUACCAUUUAUAUGGGAGUCAUCCCUGCUGCGUAAUGUUAAGUGCGACCUGGACAGAGAGUAUGCUGAAUCUUUGCAAUUUCAAUUAAAGAGACAAAAAGCCAAGGCCAUUAGAAGUAGAACGGAAAUGACUAUGACCCCACCACCUAGGAGCAUUCAAGAGUGGGCCGUUUCCUCUACUUAUAAAUGAUGCUAUUACUGUUAAUAGUUAUAUUUAAUUUCCUCAUUUCUAGCUCACCUGAGCCAAAAGCUCAAGGUCACAAUUAAUAAUAUUAUACCGUUAUAACCAGUUUUUAUGAAAUUCUAAUAAUGCUGUUGAAGGAGAAUUGCAAUUUUUCGGAUGUUUAUAAUUGAUACUGUUUAAUUAUGUCUAGCAUCUUAAAAAGUGUGAUGACCUAUAUAUUUCAUUUGAUAAUUUAUUAAUUUUAACUUUAAUAAAUUGAAAUAAAUGCAUUUUUGAUACUUUUAUCAGAGAAUAUUGCAAGUAUGGAGUUACCUUGAUAUAUUUAUACAGAUUUGUUCUGCUUUAGUACUAGUGUAUCAGUAUUAUUACAUCAAGUUCAUUUGUGUGAAUAUUAUAAUAUUUAAGAAUGAAUAAAACUGUCAAAUUGUG
Ostrea edulis (European flat oyster) is the source of this 2039-nucleotide long non-coding RNA. RefSeq lists it as uncharacterized. The record is from RefSeq and is a predicted model, not a curated record. Lineage: Eukaryota; Metazoa; Mollusca; Bivalvia; Ostreida; Ostreidae. The transcript is spliced from 4 exons.